RNAcentral lists this ribosomal RNA (252 nucleotides) under uncultured bacterium. Its description in RNAcentral is "partial 16S ribosomal RNA". It matches the Rfam family "Bacterial small subunit ribosomal RNA", at positions 524 to 776 of the family's 1533-position model. The record is from RNAcentral.
UACGGAGGAUGCGAGCGUUAUCCGGAUUUAUUGGGUUUAAAGGGUGCGUAGGCGGAUCGUUAAGUCAGUGGUCAAAUUGAGGGGCUCAACCCCUUCCCGCCAUUGAAACUGGCGAUCUUGAGUGGAAGAGAAGUAUGCGGAAUGCGUGGUGUAGCGGUGAAAUGCAUAGAUAUCACGCAGAACCCCGAUUGCGAAGGCAGCAUGCCGGCUUCCGACUAACGCUGAAGCACGAAAGCGUGGGGAUCGAACAGG